AAAACCUAGUAAAAUUUAUCAAAUCUUUAUUUCUGAACACUCACAAAUUCUUCCCACUUUGAAAAUCUCCAGUGAUCAUUCAGUUACACACCAAAUAACAGAAGUGAGGCUAGGUAGGCUGGUUGUCUUUUUGAGCUAUGCUUCAAUUGCCCUGCCUCUAGAUACAUUAACUCAUGGCCACCUUCUUUUUCUUCUCUUUUCAUUUUCCUUCUUUUCCUGAGAAGGGUAAAGCAGUCUUGAAGACUUGCUAUUUCCAUGACCAGAGAGUUUUAUAUUUAUGGAAGACCUAAAAACCAGAGAAAACCCACAAAAUAACAGUCAUUUGAAACCAUAGACAAUGCAUUUUUUCUCAUUUAUUCAAAUUCACUGCAGGAAGUAAACACUAAAAGAUUAAAAAACAAAACAAAAAAAAUUCACACCGCAGUAUGUACAGUUUCAUGAUAUCACAUGAAGAAAUUAAAUUUCUAAUAAAAAUGACAAAUUAUAUUACUAAGCCGAUAGCAUUAAAAUUGGUUGUGUAAACCCCAAAAUUCAUAUGAACGGUAAUGUCCCUGUAUUCCAGCAGACUGGAAUACUCCUGGUAUAAUAUUACAUUUUCAAUGGGAUUAAAAAAUUCAUGAAAGUAGUUGUGUGAACUCUUAAUGUUGAAAAGUGGUUGACUUGAUUUUAAAAAGUUUUAAGACCCUUGGAUUCAAAGCACAUUCUUUCACAAAGCUUAAACCACAGAAGUCAUAUCCAGAAAUGGAAUACUGUCAUGUUGGGAUGAACAUCUGAUCUGACUUGUUAAGACAUUUUGCCAAAUGCACAGAUGCACAGGGUCCCCCAUGCACUUUUCAUGCAGCAGGUAAUCACAACUUAAAUAAAAGGUUUAUUCUAUACAUUUGUCCAGACUUGCAACUGUAUACAUCAUGCACAAUUUUUAAACCUGUCUGAUUAUAUUUACACUUAUACAUGGAAUAUACAGAAACUGAAGAGGUUAAAAGGCUUUUCUGUUGCAUUAGAACAAUACAAAAUAUGUAUUUUUCAUUAAGGAAAUCACUAUUUACAUCACCUUUAAAAACUGAUUUUAACAUCUUCAUGUAACAAGUCAAUAUAUAUAUAUAUACAUAUUAUAUAUAUAUAUAUAUAAAAUAUAUACUCUCACCAGUUUACUCUUCUGUAACACGUACCAGAGAAUAAACAGGUAAUGCUACCUUACUGAUGUCAAUGAGAGCUGUAGUACCCUUUCACAAACGACUUCAUCGGGAAGAAAUUGUCUAGAUAUCUAAAAUAGUCCUUGAAAACGUGUGUAUGCGCGUCUUGUAACUACAUAUGCAUAAACAAAGUGAAGUUAUGGAUGUAUGCCCUUUCUGACUGUUCUUUAAAAUCACCCUAAAGUCAAACUGGGGACAUUCUCUAGUAAAUCAGAACAUCAUUCUUCUGGUCAUGUUUAUCUACGUAUUACAUAUCCUCAUUCCUUUAACUGUUAACAAUGACAACAACAAAAACAACCAACCAAUCAAAGAAACAAACAAAAAGAUAGCAAUGCUGGCCCUUGAUACUCUUUUCCCUGACCUAAAUUUCACUCCCUUGUGAAAGCCCAUUUUCCCCCGACCAAAGGGGAAUACCAACAAUUUUUCUAGCAUACCUCUAAGGCUGCAGACCUUUCACAAUGGCAGGAAAAAAAAAAAUGACUUGCUUAAAAACUUAUUUAUAUGGUGGAGACAAUAAGAUUGUCACAGAGUCAAUAUGGGAUGGAAUAGAAUAUAUUCACUGGCCAGUGGGAUUUUCACUUCAGAAUAAGCAUACGCCUUCAUCUCUCCAUGAUGUAGCAUAAUAUUCACUCCUGACUAUUGUUUUAUAAUAUAUCCAGUAACUAUUUACAAAUCAUUUUGAGAAAAAAAUAAUCAUUUAGGGUUUUAGAUCAUAUAGGAAAUAACGCCCAUUUUUAAUAUAAAAAAUCUUAGAAACAACUUCAAGUAGAACAACUUCAAAUAGAUUUCCUUCUAAUUAAUAGUUGAUUAUAUAACAAUUUUUUGAUAGGUCAGUUGCAAACCUGGUUCACUUUUAAAAACAAAAGUAUUAUCUGGUGAACAAACUGUGGACUGUGAAAGCUGAACUUAAAACAUAGGGACUUGUUUCAAGAUCAAAACCCCAUGUGGCUCGAUAAGAAGUUCUUCCAAGAGAACAUCAAUGUUUAUGUCUUAAUUGCAAUUUUAAAAGAGUAGGACCAAUGGAGGGACUGUGUGCAACUUUGUCAUGUAUAUGUGCCCUCUGUACUUUUCUCUUUAGUCAAUCUGAGUUGAGUGCCUUUCUUGGGUUUGAGAGAAAUAUUUUUGUCUUGGUCAGCAAUGUUCUUAGGACAAUGAUUUUAAUAGAAACUAAGGAUGUAUUCAGGAGAAGUUUCCAAACCAUCCUGGAAUCACCUGAGUUUGGUAAGUGGCCCUGUUAUUCCAUCCCUAAGGCUAAUUAAGUAGAUGUUACUCAUUAGAACACACAAAUAAUCACAGAUUUUCCUGAGAUGUUGAGCCAGAUAUGAAAGUUGUCCCCUCCACCCAAUUUUUUUUUUUGUCAUAAAAAGUAUUCUGAACCCGAUUUCCAAAGACAUAACGGUUAUAUAUGAACUACAAUAUUGCAAAUUUUGAGUUGAUGUAUAACUGUAUUGGGGAAAAUAUAGGCAUCAAGUAGUUUGGUUUUUUGUUUGUUUGUUUUUUACAGUCCUGUGUUCUGAGAAAAGUCAUAAGCAAUGGUUCUCAAACUUGAGUGUGCAGAAGAAACAUCUAGGAAGUGUGUUAAGAUGCAGCUGGGAGAUUCCCAGGUCCACUUAGCAGAGAUUCUUGAUCUGUAGAUCUGAGAUGCUGCCUAGGAAUCUGCAUUUUAAAACAAGUGCUCCAGAUGAUUCUAAUGCAGGUGGUCUGAGUCCAGCUUUUAAGAAACCCUGGUCGUAAGACUCACAGGUACCACAGAAAUGGUGAGAAGUAACUUUUACAAGAGAUGGUGAAAAUUGUCCAAAGAAAAGCCAUUUUGCUUCUGUUAAAAACAACUUCUUAAAUAGUCAACUAUUCAGGAAACCACCUGAAGGUAAAUGGUUAACUUUCCUAAUUCUGUAAAAGGAGGAAUAUUAAUUUAGUAAAGUAGCUAAAAUACAAAAAUGGAAAUCUGCCUUUUUUUAAGGAUCUAUCAAACUUCCAUCAAUUGUAAUCAAUUUUUACUAAGUAGUACAAGGUUUAAAGAAAUACAUAUUGAAAAGGACUGGGGUGGGGCAGACACAUUGGGAACCACAAAACCCCUUCCAAGAGUUAAAAAUAAAUACGUCUUCUUCUUCUUCUUCUUUUUUUUUUUUUUUUAGCAAAAGUGAAAAAUGUAAGCCUAUUUUUUCUAAUUUAUUUCUGAAUCGGAUAAUGAGAAGUGAAUUAGGUUCUUUUUUUUAAUUCAACGAUUAAUAUUUAAAGAGUCAUUGAACAAUUUGGAUUUAAAAACAAAUGUGUUAUGUAGGCCGACGUCUGAAAAGCAAAAUAAAGUACCCUAAUAAAGGCAGCAAAAUGCAUUAAUCCACUAUGGAUGGAGAUUUACAUUUUAAUUUACGCCUAUUACUGGAUUAUAAAAGAUUUUUCAUUCAUAGGCUACUCACAGUUGUUGUUUGGUGCAUACAGAGUGUUAAACAACCAAUUUGCUAGUUCAGUAGUUUCCUCAUGACAUCUAACGUAAAGCAAAAAAGUAGUGUGCAUAUUUAGACAUCACCAGCAACCAAUACUUCUCGAAAUGAAAAAAGUUUCAGUUAUACCAUGCUUUUCUCAAAUCAUGCUCUUAUUUAUACAGGUCGCAAGUUCAUACUAAGCAGUUUGCAAAAAAAAAAAAAAAAAAAAAAAAAAAA
Molecule: long non-coding RNA, 3853 nt
Filed under: Canis lupus familiaris (dog)
Lineage: Eukaryota; Metazoa; Chordata; Mammalia; Carnivora; Canidae
Description: lncRNA (ENSCAFG00845023326.1)
Source: RNAcentral